RNAcentral lists this ribosomal RNA (252 nucleotides) under uncultured bacterium. RNAcentral's name for it is "partial 16S ribosomal RNA". It matches the Rfam family "Bacterial small subunit ribosomal RNA", at positions 524 to 776 of the family's 1533-position model. The record is from RNAcentral.
UACGGAGGAUGCGAGCGUUAUCCGGAUUUAUUGGGUUUAAAGGGUGCGUAGGCGGACUGUCAAGUCAGCGGUAAAAUUGAGAGGCUCAACCUCUUCCCGCCGUUGAAACUGGUGGUCUUGAGUGGAUGAGAAGUACGCGGAAUUCGUGGUGUAGCGGUGAAAUGCUUAGAUAUCACGAAGAACUCCGAUUGCGAAGGCAGCCUGCUGGACUGUAACUGACGCUGAUGCUCGAAAGUGUGGGUAUCAAACAGG